RNAcentral lists this small RNA (1700 nucleotides) under Vigna angularis var. angularis. RNAcentral's name for it is "Non-protein coding transcript". Lineage: Eukaryota; Viridiplantae; Streptophyta; Magnoliopsida; Fabales; Fabaceae. The record is from RNAcentral.
AUCAUGAUUAUAUUGUGUCUAGGACUACCCUAUUUAUCAUGUUAUCUCCCUCUCUCAAUCUCAACUCUGUCAUUUUGAAGAAGUGUGGGAAAGCAAAUGAUUUGAUAUCAUACAGGUCGGACAACAACUAUGCAAGUAUAAACUACCCAGUCAUACAACGUUUAAACUAAAAAGAAAGUACCACUUGUUUUCUUUUGAUAACAUUUCUAGUUCACAUUUCACCUCGAAUAACAAUACCAUGUACCGAUCCCAUCAAUCAAUAUUGAAUAAUUUGCAAGUCGGGACAAGUUGUAUUGGUUAAAUAUCGAGAUAAAGGUCAUGGCCAAUAAUUUUCAUUACAAUUGCAAGGCCAAGCAAAUGAAAUCGCUCACAAGUCGUACCAGACAGCUAAUGGCGUGAAACAGAGUAACAAUUAGUCUAUCACGUUUUUCUCCCUGCACCUUCCUUUCCCAAAACAAUACAAACCAUUUACUAGCGCCACAAUACAACUGAUUCUGUGCAAUUGCAAUCCAAGGCCAUAUGCAAUGACUGUGAACUCAAGUUCACAACUAAAUCACGGGGAAUGACUUAACUAGGUAGUGUAUAACAUUAACAAAUAUAAUUUUUUUUCUAAAAUGACUAAAUACUAACCAAAAAUGUUCAUGGGAAUGACAUUCCUGGGUAUAAUAUUCAGGGGAUUUUGCUCCUGGGAAAGAAAUAGUAUCCUAUGAAACACUCACCCACUGAGAUAAGUUUAGUACCUAUUUUUAACAUCAGAGAAAUUUUUUUGGCAUAGGUAAAUUACGACAAAAAAAAAUUGAGUAGAGAGCAAGACUUACAACUUCCUGAUCGUGAUUCGAGAGUACAACUCAAAAUCAGAACAAUUAUUGGGAGAAAGUAAAUAGUUUAACCGCUUAAACAGAGCAGGGGAAUGAUACAUUUAUUUUUUCUUUUAUUUCCUACAAAUCCCUUUUGGCUUGACACACUUACCAGGAACUCAAGAAGGGACUUAAACAGAAUAUAAACAAGAUAAAAUUCAUCAUAGAAAUUUGAGCACAAUUAGUAUCAUAACUCGGUGCCCUGAGAAAUAGAAAUGGCUCAUGCAUUUGUGACCUGGUAAUAAGAGCGAGAUCUUGAUGGCUGAGACGAAUGUUUGGAUGGCUGUCCAUGAUCAUUUGAAUUUGAUUUCUUGGGAGCAGAAGCAUCGAAAGGUUCUCGCCUAGAAUGAUGUGGUGGCGGCGGGUUUCUCUUAUCUCCACCAUCAGAGGUUACUCUGUUCCUGUCCCUUUCUCUUUCUUGUCUACCAUCCCUUCUAUAUCUCUUGGGACUACAGCCCACAACCCCAAAAACAACAUUCAAAAACGAAACCAUCUAUGUAUUUUCCCCAUAACUGUAAGCAAUGCAUUUAAAAUUAAGCCAACCCCCGUGUAAUCGAAAAAAAAAACAUGGAAUUGCGAUAUUGGAACAGUUAACCCAAUGCACUACGUGAAAUGUUAGGUUCAAGUGAAAAGCAGACAAUUGUUAUUAGGUUGAAAAUGGGAAUGGGAAUUGAAAUCGGAGUGAGAAGAGAGAGCACCUUGGUUCUUGAUCGAACUUGGAGUGGCGACGCUUGGAAUCAGAGUCUCGAUGAGACAUUAGGUUUUUUUCUGUCGAAAAUUGGAAAGGAUUAGGAUUAGGGCUAACCAUGUUUCAGUUUCAAAUAUAGUAAAAGUGAUUCAUUU